UACAGAGGAGGCAAGCGUUGUUCGGAAUCACUGGGCUUAAAGCGCGUGUAGGCGGCCUUGCAAGUACUUUGUGAAAGCCCCCGGCUCAACCGGGGAAUUGCUUGGUAUACUGCUGGGCUUGAGGCGGGUAGGGGUGCUUGGAACUCUAGGUGGAGCGGUGAAAUGCGUAGAUAUCUAGAGGAACGCCUGUGGCGAAAGCGGAGCACUGGGCCCGUCCUGACGCUAAGACGCGAAAGCGUAGGUAGCAAACGGG
Molecule: ribosomal RNA, 253 nt
Filed under: uncultured bacterium
Lineage: Bacteria
Description: partial 16S ribosomal RNA
Rfam family: Bacterial small subunit ribosomal RNA
Source: RNAcentral